AAUUUUCUGAGUUUUUUCUUGUAACAUUUUGUCAUUGUUUUCUUGUAAAUUUACCCAGUAUUUUCAGAGUUAGCUAUUUUAUUUCUCAUAAAUUCGCAAGAUUGUUCCUUGUGAUGUGCUUGGAAUUUUUUUAAAUUGCAUUUUUUUUAAAUUAACAUUUUUACUUUUUAAAUUAAGAAGUUUUUAGUAAGUUUACCAGUUGUUUCCAUACAUUUGCUAGCUUGUUUCUCAUUCAUUCGUUUAGCAUUAUCUACGUAAAUGUUUUAUUUUCUCUCAUAUAUUUCAGUUUUUUGAAAAUUUACCAACUAUUUUCAUAGAAAUUUGCAGGUUUUUUCACAUAAAUGUUCUAUUCUUUUCCUCAUAAAUUCACGUUUUUUGUCAUAAAUGUUGACCUUUUUUCCUUCUUUCUUCUUUCUCUUUGAGAGCAGUUUUUCACUCAUAGUGACUCAGAUUAGCAAAUUAUUGCAGCUGGAAGGACAAAAACGACAUAUUGUCACCCAGGUCUGUAGGCUGUCCUCUAACUGGGAGUAUAUUUGCUUAUUCGGCAUGUCAGCUCAUCUGUACAGAACAGGUCUGUGCAACUUAUGGUGUCAAGAGCAAACGGAAGAGGUCAUUUGAGGCUAAACUAAUGUACUAUUUAGUCACUUUGGCUUUUUGGGCUAAUUGGAGAGACCUGCUUUUAAAAACAUAAAUUUUUUUCACUGAUUGUUUCUGUUCUGUCACUUUGCCUUCACCAGUGUUUGGUUAGUAAUCACAAAUCAUCAUUAGGUCUGAAGCUAUCAGUGAUCUCAGUGAUAUUUUUCCCAGAUAAACAUAUCUGCAGUGUGAUGCUACAGUAUGCACAAAGGACUUUAAAUUGAUUGUGUGCAGUUUCACUGGCUUAGCAUCUGGCGCUCGUGAUAAUCCCCCUUCUGUCCUGCAUCAGUCGCACGUAUUGAUGAAGCACUCAGGGCUGUAGUACUACAUUUACUCGGCACAUUAGCCCAUUACAGUUAUGGGCAGGCAAGGAAGAGGUACUUUUAACCUGCACAAACUCAGCGAGUCCGUCACUAGUACCUGCAUGGGGAUGAAUAGCAGCUGUAGGACACGAGACGGCACACAACAACCUGAGAUACAGAAAUAUGGCAUCACAGAGCAGGAACAUGAUCCACUUAACCUGAUUUCUCUUCAGUGUGAACAAAGACAAGGACACGCAGGAGGAACAGAGCAUGUUUCAUUCAUCACUAGCAAAUGACACAAAUAAAAACCACAUUUUCAGGAUCUUUUUUUCUUUCUUGGAAGCACUUCAAUGUGACUUUAUUACAUUUUUGUGUGAGCUAUUUGAAAAAGAAGCCUUUGAUUUUUGCAAUAACACUUACUCAACUUAAACUGAUAGUGAAGGUACUUGUGAAUCACUGUCUCUUUCAUCAUUUAUGUAACUAAAUUUAAACUUAAGAUCAUAUAAUACCAUGAUGGGAUAACGAUACGCAAAUCUUCUCACAACAGCAGAUGCUUUGUAGAGUAAAGUAAACAUCUCCAGUGAUCAGUGGCCUGUAGAGGCUUAAAUAGGUAAGGUCAUGAAGGUGGUCAACUUUUUAUGCUGCAUAUCCAACCUGCUCUGAGAUGAGAUAUCCACACAUGUAUCACCACACCAUACUGACUAAUCAGCUCUCUCAGUGUGCAGAUAGUAAGAGACUCUAAAGUCUUU
Long non-coding RNA from Oreochromis niloticus (Nile tilapia), 1687 nucleotides. Lineage: Eukaryota; Metazoa; Chordata; Actinopteri; Cichliformes; Cichlidae. The record is from Ensembl.